AGCGGCGGAUGGGUGAGUAACACGUGGGGAACCUGCCCCUAAGUCUGGGAUACCAUUUGGAAACAGGUGCUAAUACCGGAUAAUAAAGCAGAUCGCAUGAUCAGCUUUUGAAAGGCGGCGUAAGCUGUCGCUAAGGGAUGGCCCCGCGGUGCAUUAGCUAGUUGGUAAGGUAACGGCUUACCAAGGCGACGAUGCAUAGCCGAGUUGAGAGACUGAUCGGCCACAUUGGGACUGAGACACGGCCCAAACUCCUACGGGAGGCAGCAGUAGGGAAUCUUCCACAAUGGACGCAAGUCUGAUGGAGCAACGCCGCGUGAGUGAAGAAGGUUUUCGGAUCGUAAAGCUCUGUUGUUGGUGAAGAAGGAUAGAGGUAGUAACUGGCCUUUAUUUGACGGUAAUCAACCAGAAAGUCACGGCUAACUACGUGCCAGCAGCCGCGGUAAUACGUAGGUGGCAAGCGUUGUCCGGAUUUAUUGGGCGUAAAGCGAGCGCAGGCGGAAAAAUAAGUCUAAUGUGAAAGCCCUCGGCUUAACCGAGGAACUGCAUCGGAAACUGUUUUUCUUGAGUGCAGAAGAGGAGAGUGGAACUCCAUGUGUAGCGGUGGAAUGCGUAGAUAUAUGGAAGAACACCAGAGGCGAAAGGCGGCUCUCUGGUCUGCAACUGGCGCUGAGGCUCGAAAGCAUGGGUAGCGAACAGGAUUAGAUACUCCUGGUAGUCCAUGCCGUAAACGAUGAGUGCUAAGUGU
This 745-nucleotide ribosomal RNA is filed under the name uncultured bacterium. RNAcentral's name for it is "bacterial SSU rRNA". It matches the Rfam family "Bacterial small subunit ribosomal RNA", at positions 94 to 823 of the family's 1533-position model. The record is from RNAcentral.